AAGUCGUAACAAGGUUUCCGUAGGUGAACCUGCGGAAGGAUCAUUAUCGAGUUUUGACUGGGUUGUAGCUGGCCUUCCGAGGCAUGUGCACGCCCUGCUCAUCCACUCUACACCUGUGCACUUACUGUGGGUUACAGAUCGUGAAACGGGCUCUUUACCGAGCUCGCGGAGCGCCACCUGUGCCCGCGUUUAUCACAAACUCUAUAAAGUAUUAGAAUGUGUAUUGCGAUGUAACGCAUCUAUAUACAACUUUCAGCAACGGAUCUCUUGGCUCUC
This 276-nucleotide unclassified non-coding RNA is filed under the name air metagenome. RNAcentral's name for it is "partial contains small subunit ribosomal RNA, internal transcribed spacer 1, and 5.8S ribosomal RNA". The stretch from base 1 to 46 matches the Rfam family "Eukaryotic small subunit ribosomal RNA", at positions 1786 to 1831 of the family's 1831-position model. The record is from RNAcentral.